CUAGAGUUAUACUUGGCCAAGGAAGGGACAGAUCUGGCACCAGGGGUAGGAAUCCUGAGCAGACUUAGUGCCACGACCAUCUCAGCUCAGAAAAGAAGGACUGAGACAGACAAGCAUGGCUACCUUUGUGAUCUGCAACCUUCAUUAAGGACAUCCCGCUCCAUCUGUUUGAAGCCUUUCCUUCAGAACUCUAGAGGAGCAACACUUCCUAUAACUGCUCCCUGAUGAAGAACUGUUAUUCCACACAAGUGAAAAUGUCUGCCUAAUCAAAGUCUCCUUCUUUCAGGAUUUGAGUGAUUUUAAAAAAUAGAGGACGGUUAACUACGUCUGAGUGGG
Suricata suricatta (meerkat) is the source of this 336-nucleotide long non-coding RNA. RefSeq lists it as uncharacterized. NCBI's taxonomy places the organism in Eukaryota, Metazoa, Chordata, Mammalia, Carnivora, Herpestidae. The transcript is spliced from 2 exons. The record is from RefSeq and is a predicted model, not a curated record.